CACACACGGGGGGUGGGGGGCGUGUCAGGCCCGCCCCCCAUGACGGAAGCGGAGACUGCGGGCGGCGCCGCGGCAGAUCCUGGUUCUGCUUUUCUACAUUUCCAACAUGAAAUGCAAGAAUGCUCAGGCCUGAGAGAGCUUUGACCACAAGACACAGGUGAGUUCCCAGGUGGGAUUGAUGUAUGUGUGUAUAUAGAAUUGGAGGUGAUGACAUUCUUCAUUCCUUUUGCAGACUAAGCUGACCUCCAUCCUGAGAUUCGUCCUGGUCAAUGAAGAUGACCUGUCCCUUGAUGACGAACUCAUCCACUUCCUGCAGGAGAAAGGUGAUAACUGGGGCUGGUGUACUGAGAUGAGGAAAAUAAUUCUUCUAUAUCUGGUGGCCUCUGUUCCACACUAUGCUGGACCUACUUGGCUAAUAAAAUCUGUCACAUUGUAAA
Molecule: long non-coding RNA, 437 nt
Organism: Rana temporaria (common frog)
Lineage: Eukaryota; Metazoa; Chordata; Amphibia; Anura; Ranidae
Exons: 2
Source: RefSeq, a predicted model, not a curated record